Molecule: long non-coding RNA, 3738 nt
Organism: Bos taurus (domestic cattle)
Lineage: Eukaryota; Metazoa; Chordata; Mammalia; Artiodactyla; Bovidae
Source: Ensembl
CGCGCACGCACACAUACACACAGUUUCAUGUUCUUCACUGUAUUUAUUUUUCACAUCUUCAGUGCUUCUUAGUAUAUUUAGAUUGUUCAAAAUUGUUGGUAACUGUUACACAAUCAUGCUGCAGUGAAGAAGUUUUAUAUCUGGUGAAAAACAGACCCCAAAAUGGAAUGUUGGAGAAAAAAAAAAGAAACUCAUUUGAAUAAGUGAAUGAGAGUAGAAAUCCUAGCUAAUCAGUUUUGUUACAAGAUACAUUACAUCUGUGUUUGAUAGAAUGGACUUACGGCUGGCGUAAAGGUCCUUUUUAUACUGGUGAUAGGAAUUGUUUCAGUGGGCUUAAGCUAAAGCGAUCAAACAAAUAUUAAAACCCCAGUGGCACAGCACAUAGGAUGGCAUUGCUUUUCAUGUGAAGUCUGUUGCAGGCCGGCAGCUCUCUCGAGUACCUCCUUUCCAGGCAGUGACCCAGGGUCCUGCACCCCCCACCCCCCAGCUCUGCGCAUGCCCCCAGGCCGCCACUGUAAGGAGAGAGCCGGCAGGCCAGCAGGCGCUUUAAAGCUUCAGACUGGAAGUGGUGUGUGUUGUCUUUGCUCGCAGCCCCUUGGCCAGAACCUACCACCUGCAGGGUGUGGAGGCGCAGGGUGCUGGGCGGUGUGGAGGGACCCUCGGGCCUUCUCCGUGCAGUGAGCCACGUUGCCCUUCUCCUUGGGUUGUCUCAUCCAGGCUCCCUGCGCAGAUAGACAAACCAAGGCUUAGGCCUGAAGCAUAGAACACAAGGAGUCAAGUGGUCCACAGAGCCGUGGUCCUCAAAGUGUGAGGCUCAGAGCGGCAGCAUCACCUGGGAGCUUGUUGGAAACACAGAUGGUUAGGCCCUACCCCAGACCUUCCAGUGAGAAACCAGAGGUGGGGCCCAGAUCUGUUUCAGUGAGCUUUCUGGAAGCGUGUUAACGUUUGAGAAGCACGGCCCUGGGUGAACGGAAUGUCUUCAGGGCCUGUUGGGCUGCUAGUUAGCAGAUCAGCUCUGAAGUCCUGAUGCGCAUGGGGGAAUUGAUGCUUUCUCCCCAAGACUGUGUGUAUUCUUUUAUUUUUUUGGCCACACGGUGCAGCAUGCAGGAUCUUAGUUCCCUGACCAGGGAUUGAACCCAUGCCCCAUGCAUUGGGAGCACAGAGUCUUUUAACCACUGAACCACCAGGGAAGUCUUCAGACUCUGUUUAAGCACUUUCCCGGGUAACUCCUCGGUCUCGCAGCCGCCACGUGAAAUAGGCGUUACUGUCGUCUUAAGAAAACCAAGGCCGAUAGAGGUUCUGCAGCUGAGGGUGGUUCCGCCACAGCAGGCAAGGGGAAGAGGCCAGAUUUGAACCUGGGCAGCGUGGCUCCCAAGUCCGCUCCUUCGCCAGCCCCUGUGCCGUCCUGCUUGCUGGCCACCCCACGGCCGUUUUGUUGCUGUCUCUUGAAUGAAGAUGGGCCGGCGGCAUGAGCAGGAAGCGUGGUGUGUCAGUGACAGAUCACACCGCGCCAAGCCCCUCGCCACAGUUCCAUUCGUUGGUGGUUGCAUUGCCGACAGGCCGGCUGGGGCUGGGGGUGCACGGCCAGGAGUGGCGGGGGAGACGUUUGCUCAGAGUGAGGCGGUGCCGUUGCACCGGGGAACGUGCUCUUCAGUCAGCCUGUGUGCCAGCUCCGGGCUGGGAUGAAUCCCCGUUCCCAGCACCUUCCCUCCUGAUUGGGCUCAUUUUCCCUCAUCAUCUGCCCUCUCUGAGAUGCUCAUCUAGGGCCUGACUCCAUGAGGUGGUCUGAAGACGCUGUCUGAGUUUGCAUAGGGAAGUAUGUUUUUUUUUCUUCCAAGAAAAUGGAUAAAAGGGUUCUCUUUCCACUUGGGAAAUUCAGGUCAAGUCAGAUGCGAUCCAGUCUUUUGAAUUUUGACCCGAUUGACACAGGUUUUCCAAAUGGCGUUUAGAAACAGCUUUUCAGGCGGUUCCAUUUCCUUGCAUCCUUUUCAAAUUUUUAAUGAUUAACUGCAUGUUCUUUCUUCCCGGUGGGUCUGUUGUGUGUUGUUGCUGAGGUGUGCCCUGCCAGCCCCUGCUUUCCUUUCCCUUCUUGUCUCUUGGGCUCAGCAGCCUAGAACUGAGCUGACUCCUGCCCAGGAUGGGAUCAGCUUUGGCCGUAGGUAGAGGAUAAAGAUAGCAUCACCCUUUUCGGUUUCCAUGUUGGCUGAGAACAGCUGCAGCGCUUCGUAUAGCUCUGAACAUAACAUCUCAUUCCAGAGUCACUGAAGUUUUUAGUUUUCUGCAAGCCAGGGCUUAACCACGGGGUUUUCACAUUCAGACUCAGAGUCUCGAGUUUUCCUGUGAGAAACAGUUGCUUGUUUAGUUGAGUAAUUUAAGAGAACAGAGAUGAUGGUGGGGGAGGGAGGAGACCAUUUGUUUCUCCAGAGACCCAGGUCCUUCCUCUCCUUCAUCACUUUCAGCAGUUUUAAUUUGUUGAGGUGCUCUAGCAGACGUGUAGGUAAUUGAAGUUAAUCUUGAGUCAGGUCUAAACAAAAGAAGAGAAAACUGACCUGAAAAAGAACAACUGAAGUCACGCUAAUUGAAUCACCGGGCCCUGCAUGCAGAUCUGCUGGGACCGGCUGACCUCAGGACACGGUGCCCAUGCUCAGGGUGGGCCGCGUGCCUCUCAGGAAUGGCUGACUCCCUGGUCCCCAGCGGUUCCCGGCUGCAUUCCACACCGAGGCGCAUCUGGCCAGCUAUCCAGAGUCGGAAACAGAAUGCCGGACUCAACCUGAGGAGGAGGAGCGGGCUCCGGAGGGUCCCCGGCCCCUCUCCUGGGCCCAUUCUCGCGGUCACGUGGUUGUAAAGACCUAAGCUAAGAGCCCCCCCAGCCCCGUUCACCCCCUCUCGCCCCCUCUCUGGGGUCCUGGCUCCUGAAGCUACCAGUUCCCCUUUUCUCUUCCUCCUCCUCGCAGCAUACGGCCGCUGCCUGUGUUCUUGAGAUUACUAAUCCGCAGGGUGUCCGAGUGCCGCUUCGUGCCUGCUCGAGGUUAGGCCCCUCCACCUCUGCGCCUCCUUCAGCUCCCCUGAUCUCUCUCCUCGGGAGGGUUCCACACCCUGUCGUUGCCGACGUUUCCACACUCGUUCUCCCUACUGGGGACCUCGUUCCUCCCAGCCCUGGUUCUGUUCCACAUCCGUGGCUCAGAAUGGCUGUUCUUCAUGCCCCAUCCUGUACCUUCUCAUCUCUGAAUCUGAGCCCUGAUUUCUCACUCUGGUACCAAGACCCUCCCUUCUCACCCACUCCAUUUCUUCACUUGCCAAGUGUCUAAAAAAUAAUUGAGCCCAACCCCUUUAACAGUUGAAAACUUCUUCCAGGAAGUUUGAGCCUGUGGCCAGAGUGACUUCCUGCUCAGCUCCCUCUGCUCGGCAGUGUGAUCCAGCCAGCUUACAGGUCUCUGCACUUCUUUGAAAGGCAUUCAGGUUUAUCUUUCCCUCUCUGUUCCCUUUGUUCCCAUUUCCAGUCUGGUCUCCCUCCCCUGCGGUCCCAUGCCGUGUUCAAACAGGUUUCCUUAAAACUCUGACCUCAUCAUCUCGUGCACGCCCCAAGCCCACACCCGCUGCUGCCCCGGCCCGGUGUCCCCAGCUCCCUGUGACCAUCCCUCGUAUCCUGUGCAGGCAGGACCCGGCUCCCCGGCUGCUUGUGGUCCUUUCUGGGUAUCAGCUCCCCCAUCCUCUCUGCCACCUUGGACACUCCUCCAC